Molecule: ribosomal RNA, 582 nt
Filed under: Ptomaphagus hubrichti
Lineage: Eukaryota; Metazoa; Arthropoda; Insecta; Coleoptera; Leiodidae
Description: partial 16S ribosomal RNA
Rfam family: Bacterial large subunit ribosomal RNA (bases 341-499)
Source: RNAcentral
AUAAAUUUAAUGGCUGCAGUAUUUUAACUGUACAAAGGUAGCAUAAUAAUUAGUUCCUUAAUUAGGGACUGGAAUGAAGGAUUGAACGAGAUAAAAAUUGUCUCUUUUUAAAUUUUAUAAUUUUAUUUUUAAGUUAAAAAGCUUAAAUAAUAUUAAAAGACGAGAAGACCCUAUAGAGUUUUAUAAUUAUAAUGUAUUUAAAUUUUAGAAAUAAAAUUUUAUUUAUAUAGUAAUUAUUUGAUUGGGGUGAUUUUAAAAUUUAAAAAACUUUGAUAUUUUUUACAUUUCUAUAUGAUUAACUGAUCCAUAAAUUAUGAUUAAAAGAUUAAAUUACCUUAGGGAUAACAGCGUAAUUUUUUUAAAGAGUUCUUAUCGAAAAAAAAGAUUGCGACCUCGAUGUUGGAUUAAAAUAAAUUUUUGGUGUAGAAGCUGAAAUAUUAGGUCUGUUCGACCUUUAAAAUUUUACAUGAUCUGAGUUUAAAUCGGCGUGAGCCAGGUUGGUUUCUAUCUUUAAUUAAAUAAAAUAUUUUAGUACGAAAGGACCAUAUAUUUAUAAAGUUUAUUUAUUUAUGAUUAAUAUUA